This 238-nucleotide unclassified non-coding RNA is filed under the name Hevea brasiliensis (rubber tree). Lineage: Eukaryota; Viridiplantae; Streptophyta; Magnoliopsida; Malpighiales; Euphorbiaceae. The record is from RNAcentral.
AAUGUAUGUGGGCCCUCAGAGACGAUGAAGAUGGUGUUGUGUGCGAUCGGUUCUUGGUUCAUUGCAUUGGGUGCUACAACAGUGAGGUUAAUGAGGGAGCACGGUCUGAGAAUAAACCUUAGGAUACUGGCAUCAAAGAAGAUUGUGAUGGUUUUGUUCAUGUCUGCUCUAUUCAGUAUAUCGAGGAAGGCUUUUGGGCUGUUCCAUAGAGUGUAAAUAAGAAUGAAAGAAAUACGAG